RNAcentral lists this ribosomal RNA (495 nucleotides) under uncultured bacterium. RNAcentral describes it as "bacterial LSU rRNA". It matches the Rfam family "Bacterial large subunit ribosomal RNA", at positions 793 to 1290 of the family's 2925-position model. The record is from RNAcentral.
AAAGUUUUCGGAUGAGCUGUGGUUAGGGGUGAAAGGCUUAUCAAACUGGGAGAUAGCUCGUACUCUCCGAAAUGCAUUUAGGUGCAGCCUCGGACGUAUUGUCAUGGAGGUAGAGCUACUGAUCGGGCUAGGGGGCUUCAUCGCCUACCAAACCCGGACAAACUCCGAAUGCCAUGACAUAAUUAUCCGGGAGUGAGCGCAUGGGUGCUAAGGUCCGUGCGCGAAAGGGAAAAACCCAGACCAUCGGCUAAGGUCCCUAAGUACACGCUAAGUUGAUCUAACGAGGUCGGACUGCAUUGACAGCUAGGAUGUUGGCUUGGAAGCAGCCAUUCAUUUAAAGAGUGCGUAACAGCUCACUAGUCGAGCGGUCCGGCAUGGAUAAUGAUCGGGCAUCAAGUGUGUCACCGAAGCUGUGGGCUCCGUAAGGAGCGGUAGGAGAGCAUUCCGGUCUGCGUCGAAGGUGUGUUGUAAGACAUGCUGGAGCGUCCGGAAAAG